This 601-nucleotide ribosomal RNA is filed under the name Neisseria gonorrhoeae. RNAcentral's name for it is "bacterial LSU rRNA". It matches the Rfam family "Bacterial large subunit ribosomal RNA", at positions 472 to 1076 of the family's 2925-position model. The record is from RNAcentral. Lineage: Bacteria; Pseudomonadati; Pseudomonadota; Betaproteobacteria; Neisseriales; Neisseriaceae.
ACUACCUAUUCACCGAUAGUGAACCAGUACCGUGAGGGAAAGGUGAAAAGCACCCCGGAGGGGAGUGAAAUAGUACCUGAAACCAUAUGCCUACAAGAAGUCGGAGCCCGUUAAUGGGUGACGGCGUGCCUUUUGUAGAAUGAGCCGGCGAGUUAUGAUAGCAUGCAAGGUUAAGUAGAAAAUACGGAGCCGUAGUGAAAGCGAGCCUUAAUAGGGCGUUUAGUAUGUUGUCAUAGACCCGAAACCAGGUGAUCUAGCCAUGAGCAGGUUGAAGUUGAGGUAAAACUUAAUGGAGGACCGAACCGACGUUCGUUGAAAAGACCGCGGAUGACUUGUGGCUAGGGGUGAAAUUCCAAUCGAACCUGGAGAUAGCUGGUUCUCCCCGAUAUAGCUUUAGGGCUAGCGUCGAGGUUAGCAAGUUGGAGGUAGAGCACUAAAUGUAUGAUGGCCCCACCUAGGGGUACUGAAUGCAAUUAAACUCCGAAUGCCAAUUUUGUAUACUCGGCAGUCAGUACAUGGGUGAUAAGGUCCAUGCACGUAAGGGAAACAGCCCAGAUCAUCAGCUAAGGUCCCAAAAUUUAUGCUAAGUGUGUAAGGAUGU